RNAcentral lists this RNase P RNA (404 nucleotides) under Spirochaetaceae bacterium. Its description in RNAcentral is "RNase P RNA component class A". It matches the Rfam family "Bacterial RNase P class A". From Rfam's summary of the family: Ribonuclease P (RNase P) is a ubiquitous endoribonuclease, found in archaea, bacteria and eukarya as well as chloroplasts and mitochondria. The record is from RNAcentral. Lineage: Bacteria; Pseudomonadati; Spirochaetota; Spirochaetia; Spirochaetales; Spirochaetaceae.
GCGGCAGGGGUUCUGAUCGCUGGAAGGCUGGUUAAACAGCUUUCCAGAGGAAAGUCCGGGCUCCUUCGGAAAGAAUGCCGGUUAAUGGCCGGGCGGCGGAGGUGAAAGUUUCCGCUGACAGAAAGUGCAACAGAAAUAUACCGCCUUGGAAUAUUCAGGGUAAGGGUGAAAUGGCGGGGUAAGAGCCCACCGCGCUUCCGGUAACGGCGGCGGCAAUGCAAACCUCAUUCGGAGCAAGGCCAAACAGCGGCGGUAAUUCCGAUAUUCCGGGCCUGUAACAGGGUGCGGCCGUUCGCGGGUAGGCUGCUGGAGAUAAAAGGUAACUUUUAUCCGAGAUAGAUGAUCAGGAUGAAAGACAGCUGUCUUUCAUUUACAGAACCCGGCUUACCGCCCCUUCCGCUCUU